RNAcentral lists this ribosomal RNA (492 nucleotides) under uncultured bacterium. RNAcentral describes it as "partial 16S ribosomal RNA". It matches the Rfam family "Bacterial small subunit ribosomal RNA", at positions 29 to 507 of the family's 1533-position model. The record is from RNAcentral.
AGUGAACGCUGGCGGUAGGCCUAACACAUGCAAGUCGAACGGCAGCACAGUAAGAGCUUGCUCUUACGGGUGGCGAGUGGCGGACGGGUGAGGAAUACAUCGGAAUCUACUUUUUCGUGGGGGAUAACGUAGGGAAACUUACGCUAAUACCGCAUACGACCUACGGGUGAAAGCAGGGGAUCUUCGGACCUUGCGCGAUUGAAUGAGCCGAUGUCGGAUUAGCUAGUUGGCGGGGUAAAGGCCCACCAAGGCGACGAUCCGUAGCUGGUCUGAGAGGAUGAUCAGCCACACUGGAACUGAGACACGGUCCAGACUCCUACGGGAGGCAGCAGUGGGGAAUAUUCGACAAUGGGCGCAGGCCUGAUCCAGCCAUACCGCGUGGGUGAAGAAGGCCUUCGGGUUGUAAAGCCCUUUUGUUGGGAAAGAAAAGCAGCAGGUUAAUACCCCGCUGUUCUGACGGUACCCAAAGAAUAAGCACCGGCUAACUUCGUG